This 117-nucleotide microRNA precursor is filed under the name Paramuricea clavata. Lineage: Eukaryota; Metazoa; Cnidaria; Anthozoa; Malacalcyonacea; Plexauridae. The record is from RNAcentral.
GUCCAAGUAAUUGACGAUUUGGUUGUUAACUUCGGCAGUGAUCUUAAAGCCAAGUUUGUGAAAGCCAAGUUUGUGAUCACUGCCGAAGUUAACAACCAAAUCGUCAAUUACUUGGAC